GACGAACGCUGGCGGCGUGCUUAACACAUGCAAGUCGAACGGGCCUGCCUGGCUUUGGUUGGGUGGGUGAGUGGCGAACGGGUGAGUAACACGUGAGUAACCUGCCCUCUUCUCUUGGAUAACUGCUUGAAAGGGCGGCUAAUACGGGAUGUUCUGGCUGCCUCGCAUGGGGUGGUUUGGAAAGAUUCGGCCUGGUUUUGGUUGUUUUGGUGGGGGAUGGGCUCGCGGCUUAUCAGCUUGUUGGUGGGGUGAUGGCCUACCAAGGCGGUGACGGGUAGCCGGCCUGAGAGGGUGGACGGUCACACUGGGACUGAGACACGGCCCAGACUCCUGCGGGGGGCAGCAGUGGGGGAUUUUGCACAAUGGGCGCAAGCCUGAUGCAGCGACGCCGCGUGAGGGAUGGAGGCCUUCGGGUUGUGAAACCUCUGUCGCCCGGUGAUGUAGGCUUCUG
Molecule: ribosomal RNA, 451 nt
Filed under: Actinomyces sp. oral taxon 448
Lineage: Bacteria; Bacillati; Actinomycetota; Actinomycetes; Actinomycetales; Actinomycetaceae
Description: bacterial SSU rRNA
Rfam family: Bacterial small subunit ribosomal RNA
Source: RNAcentral